UACGUAGGGGGCGAGCGUUAUCCGGAAUGAUUGGGCGUAAAGCGUCCGCAGGUGGCUAUGUAAGUCUGCUGUUAAAGAGUGAGGCUCAACCUCAUAAGAGCAGUGGAAACUACAUGGCUAGAGUGCGUUCGGGGCAGAGGGAAUUCCUGGUGUAGCGGUGAAAUGCGUAGAUAUCAGGAAGAACACCGGUGGCGAAAGCGCUCUGCUAGGCCGCAACUGACACUGAGGGACGAAAGCUAGGGGAGCGAAUGGG
This 253-nucleotide ribosomal RNA is filed under the name uncultured bacterium. RNAcentral describes it as "partial 16S ribosomal RNA". It matches the Rfam family "Bacterial small subunit ribosomal RNA", at positions 524 to 776 of the family's 1533-position model. The record is from RNAcentral.